AGAAAGCGCCAACGCAGAGCAUGCUUCUUUCUCCUUCCUCAGUGUUUCUGCCCCAGGAGCUAAGGCCCCCACCCAGGUGGAGGAUGGUAACUUCAGGCUGAGCACGAGAUUCCUGGAACACGGCCCUAUUACCUACCACCAACUAGUCAGAAGAAAGUCACACAACUGGAAGCCCUCAAGCCUCAUUUUGCCUAUUAAAAACUUCACCCUAACAAAAAAAAGAAAAGAAAAAAAAUUCACCUCAAAAACCAUCAGAGAGUUCAGGGUUUCUGAGCACGAGCCACUGUUCUCCUCGUUUGGCCCUGCAGUAAAAACUUUCUCUACUCCAAAAACAAAAACAAAAAAAAAA
This is a non-coding RNA of Vicugna pacos (alpaca), 349 nucleotides long. NCBI's taxonomy places the organism in Eukaryota, Metazoa, Chordata, Mammalia, Artiodactyla, Camelidae. The record is from RefSeq and is a predicted model, not a curated record.